This 329-nucleotide unclassified non-coding RNA is filed under the name soil metagenome. RNAcentral describes it as "partial contains 5.8S ribosomal RNA, internal transcribed spacer 2, and large subunit ribosomal RNA". The stretch from base 1 to 120 matches the Rfam family "5.8S ribosomal RNA", at positions 35 to 154 of the family's 154-position model. The record is from RNAcentral.
GAUGAAGAACGCAGCGAAAUGCGAUAAGUAAUGUGAAUUGCAGAAUUCAGUGAAUCAUCGAAUCUUUGAACGCACAUUGCGCCCCCUGGUAUUCCGGGGGGCAUGCCUGUCCGAGCGUCAUUACAACCCUCAAGCUUAGCUUGGUGUUGGGCCCCGCCGCCCCGGCGGGCCCUAAAGUCAGUGGCGGUGCCGUCCGGCUCCGAGCGUAGUAAUUCUUCUCGCUCUGGAGGUCCGGUCGUGUGCUCGCCAGCAACCCCCAAUUUUUUUCAGGUUGACCUCGGAUCAGGUAGGGAUACCCGCUGAACUUAAGCAUAUCAAUAAGCGGAGGA